CAGCUAAUCACGGUCGGACAUCGUGAGUUUAGUGCAAAGGCAUAAGCUGGCUUGACUGCGAGAGUGACGGCUCGAGCAGGUACGAAAGUAGGUCUUAGUGAUCCGGUGGUUCUGAAUGGAAGGGCCAUCGCUCAACGGAUAAAAGGUACUCCGGGGAUAACAGGCUGAUACCGCCCAAGAGUUCAUAUCGACGGCGGUGUUUGGCACCUCGAUGUCGGCUCAUCACAUCCUGGGGCUGAAGUAGGUCCCAAGGGUAUGGCUGUUCGCCAUUUAAAGUGGUACGCGAGCUGGGUUUAGAACGUCGUGAGACAGUUCGGUCCCUAUCUGCCGUGGGCGUAGGAAACUUGAGAAAGGCUGUCCCUAGUACGAGAGGACCGGGAUGGACGAACCACUGGUGUGUCAGUUGUCCUGCCAAGGGCACCGCUGAUUAGCUACGUUCGGAAGUGAUAACCGCUGAAAGCAUCUAAGCGGGAAGCACGUUUCAAGA
Molecule: ribosomal RNA, 487 nt
Filed under: Candidatus Phytoplasma australiense
Lineage: Bacteria; Bacillati; Mycoplasmatota; Mollicutes; Acholeplasmatales; Acholeplasmataceae
Also listed under: 1 other name
Description: partial 23S ribosomal RNA
Rfam family: Bacterial large subunit ribosomal RNA
Source: RNAcentral